This 2639-nucleotide long non-coding RNA is filed under the name Sus scrofa (pig). RNAcentral describes it as "lncRNA (ENSSSCG00015055786.1)". The record is from RNAcentral. Lineage: Eukaryota; Metazoa; Chordata; Mammalia; Artiodactyla; Suidae.
UUUUUUUUUUUUUUUUUUUUGUCUUUUUUGCCUUUUCUAGGGCUGCUCUCGCAGCAUACGGAGGUUCCCAGGCUAGGGGUCUAAUCAGAGCUACAGCCACCAGUUUACACCAGAGCCACAGCAAUGGGGGAUCUGAGCCGAGUCUGCGACCUACACCACAGCUCGAGGCAACACCGGAUCCUUAACCCUCUGAGCAAGGCCAGGGAUCAACUCUGCAACCUCAUGGUUCCUAGUCGCAUUCGUUAACCACGACGCCACGACGGGAACUCCCUGACCUUUUUUUUUUUUUUAAUCCUUCUCCAGAAAUAUUUGAUUUUAAAAAUGUUGAAGUACUCUUUUGCUUGUAAAACUUUGUUCUUGGCCACACCUGAGGCAUGGGGAAGUUCCUGGGUCAGGGGUCAAAUACGCACCACAGCAACCCAAGCCAUUGCAGUGACAAUGCUGGAUCCUUAACCCCCUGUGACACAAAGGAGCUCCGAAAAGUGUGGAACCUUGGUAAGCAUGAACAGGCCACAGAAUGGUAACUAAGAUCCCUUAAAGUUCCAACAUUCUCUUAUCCUAUCAUAUCCCUUUGAAAAAGAAUCUAUCCAACUAUAUGACAUUCCAGAGAAGGGAAAAACUCUAGAGGUAAUAAAAAGACCAGUGGUUGCCAGAAGUUAGGGAUGAGGGUUGACUGGGUAAAGCACAGAGGAUUUUUAGGGAAGUGAAACUACUCUGUGAGAUACUAUAAUGGUAGACACAUGCCAUUAAAUAUUUGUCAAAACCCACGGAAUGUAAAAUACCAAGAGUGAACCCUAAUACAAACUGUGGACUUUGAAUGACAAAAUGUGUCACUUCUGGUUAAGGGAUUGUACCAAAUGUACCACUCUGGUUCCAGAUGUUAAGAGCAGGUGAGGCUGUGCAGGUAGGGAGCUGGAAGUAGAAGGAACUUUGUACUUACUGCUUAAUUUUGCUGUGAAACCCAAACCUGCUCUAAAAAAUAAAAUCUAUGUUUUAACAAGAAUUAACACUACUAAACAUCCUAAAAUAAUAGUAUAUAUCCUCCAACUGAAAAGGGGUCAGGGGGCGUGGGUAGAACAGUUGAGGAAGAGGUUAAAUCUCCUACAGCCAGAAAAGGAAAAGCGUAAGGAAAAGCCGCCUGAGUGCUGGAGGGCCUGCCUGUGACAUCACAGAAUACUUGGCAGAGAAGAUGUGUGUUUCUGUUUGGUCUAGAGAUGAGCUAGAGAGGAACCAGCAACACUAGUCAUCAGACACCAGCAUUCUCUUUGAAGAACCGUUUUUGAUGCUUAGAAACACUGCACAGAAAAGCCAGACUAGUGCCAUUCCACAUACACACACAACCAUACAUCAUUUUGAAUUUUAUGUCUGGCUAUUUCUCCUCAUUUUUGGUAAAGUAACUGCCCAGAUAUAAUCUCUGUUUUCAAUUCAGAGAAUCAGGGGACUUGUUGGCUAAUCCCAAAAGUGACAAACCGACCAAAGCAGCCAUCAAAUGUACUGCCACAUGCAACCGGCUUGCCAAAAAUCAGUUAUAAAAGCAGGAUCUGGGACUUUAAAUAUAAGAAAUUAGCUUUCAAAGACAUCAAGUUCUAAUUAAGUUUUAAAAUUUAAUGAGAAACACCACUGCUAACAUCCCGUGAUAAUUAUUGCACUGAGUGGAAUAUGAGGAGGCACAGAGAGACCAGAUUCAACCCAUGUGAGAGGAAGUCUUCCCAAGCAUCAAAUAAAAGUCUCACAUGUCAGAGACAUAAGUUGUCCACACGUUCAUGCACACGCAACUGACUUUUCAUCAAGGAUCUACUUACUAGAAUUGUCUUUUGGAAGCUCAAAGGUCAUGAAAGAAAUGCUAUCUGGGUGAAUUAUCUUUAAAUAUCUUUUAAGUGAGAAUAUAUGUGAAGACUUAUCCCUCUACCUGACCUUCAAAAAUUCAAGUUUUAACAUAAGAGCCUGGUUUUUCAAAACGGCAAGCACAAGCUUUUAAAGGAGAUCCAUAUUGCCUAUGGGAGUUGACUUGUGUGUCAUUCACAGUUGAGGUGACCUGACCUGGUGACCUAGCUGGCCAACUGAUGGGACCCCAGGGGGCAAAGGAAUGCAGGUUGUCCCCCCUCCAUGAUGAAAUCAGCUCUUUCAGGGUUGCCUCUCCAGAGCAGUGCCUUCAUGCAGGAGCCCUGCACCCCUGGAGCACAUGAAGCCUUUGUCCGAGGUUCGCAGGCAGAGGCUGUGGGAAUCAGAGUCCGCAUCCUCAGCUUCCAAAUGCCUGUGGCUCAGAAGGCUGGCUGCUGCUUUUUUCGCACAUCUCUCUUGCCGAUCUUCUCCCACGUGACAAAAGGUAGACCAACCUCUCACCCAUUAUGAUUCUGAUCAAGGGAACUGCCCCCAAGUGUGAAAACAUCCCAGUGCCACAGAAAGGGCACAUUCAAAACACUGCAGGUCAGAGUUCCCCUUGUGGUUCAGCGAGUUAAGAACCCGACUAGUAUCCAUGAAGAUGUGGGUUCCAUUCCUGGCCUCAUUCAGUGGGUUAAGGAUCCAGCACUGCCAUGAUCUGUGGUGUAGGUUGCAGACUCAGCUCAGAUGUGGCAUUGCUAUGGCUGUGGCAUAGACUGGCAACUGUAACCCCUACCCUGGGAACUUUCAUAUGCCAC